GACGAACGCUGGCGGCGUGCUUAACACAUGCAAGUCGAACGGUGAAGCGCCUUCCUUUUUGGUGGGUGUGGAUGAGUGGCGAACGGGUGAGUAACACGUGAGUAACCUGCCCCCUUCUUCUGGAUAACCGCAUGAAAGUGUGGCUAAUACGGGAUAUUCUGGGUCUGUCGCAUGAUGGGUCUGGGACAGAUAUUGUUUCGGUGGGGGAUGGGCUCGCGGCCUAUCAGCUUGUUGGUGGGGUGAUGGCCUACCAAGGCGGUGACGGGUAGCCGGCCUGAGAGGGUGGACGGUCACACUGGGACUGAGACACGGCCCAGACUCCUACGGGAGGCAGCAGUGGGGAAUAGUGCACAAUGGGAGCAAGCCUGAUGCAGCGACGCCGCGUGAGGGAUGGAGGCCUUCGGGUUGUGAACCUCUUUCGCCAGUGAAGCAGGCCUGCCUCGUUUGUGGGUGGGUUGACGGUAGCUGGAUAAGAAGCGCCGGCUAACUACGUG
RNAcentral lists this ribosomal RNA (494 nucleotides) under uncultured bacterium. Its description in RNAcentral is "partial 16S ribosomal RNA". It matches the Rfam family "Bacterial small subunit ribosomal RNA", at positions 28 to 507 of the family's 1533-position model. The record is from RNAcentral.